Lotus japonicus is the source of this 801-nucleotide long non-coding RNA. RefSeq lists it as uncharacterized. The transcript is spliced from 5 exons. The record is from RefSeq and is a predicted model, not a curated record. NCBI's taxonomy places the organism in Eukaryota, Viridiplantae, Streptophyta, Magnoliopsida, Fabales, Fabaceae.
GUUUUCACACCGAUGUGAAAAAUACUUGAAAAAACCUAAGUCCCUCUUUUCUUCGAGAACUCGCUCACAACGCACUGUACCAUCACCUCUCUUUUGUGUGCCGGAGCUUCCCCCACCGUCUCCCGACCUCCUUCCACCGUCUCCCGACCUCUCAUUCCUCGGCAGAACCGCAGCAACGCAGGUGCCCUCCACCGUCUCCCGACCUCCUUCCACCACGUCACUCACCUCGAUCUCUCAUUCUUCUCCCUGUGGAGCUACACGCUCUUCUCCACCGACUCCUCCGACUCCCAGCCCCACCGCCUCGCCCUCUGACUCCGUCGCGCCUUCCCUCACGUCACCUCAGUUACCCUCUACGCCCUCCUCAGGAACAAGGGGAUACUGUUUGUAGCUAUUGACCAUAAUAGGCCUCUUUCAUACCAAGGUCUUUUUGAUAUAGUGUUGAAUAAGUUAUCGGGGAAAGAGUGGCGCCAAGUUCUUGAGAAGCUUGGCACCUGUUGUGGAAAGGUACUUAGCUUGAGUUGAAAAAACAGUAGCAGCUGAGUUGAAAGGAUUUCUGGUGAGAACAAGCAUUAUGGGAUACCAACCAAUCCUCUGUUGUCGUCUUGCAUUCCUGGAGGUUCUUCAAGUGGUUCAGCUCUAGCUCUAACUACAUUUAAAGAACUAGAAUUGCUGAAUUGUUCUAGUUCUUUUAGGCUAUUAUGUUUUUUUUUUUGCUGGGACCUUGGAUGUUUAACUCACUUGAGAGAGUGUGUUCUCAAGAUAUCUUUUUAUUUUAAUAAAUUUUCAUUAAAAAAAUAUGUA